This 497-nucleotide ribosomal RNA is filed under the name uncultured bacterium. RNAcentral's name for it is "partial 16S ribosomal RNA". It matches the Rfam family "Bacterial small subunit ribosomal RNA", at positions 28 to 507 of the family's 1533-position model. The record is from RNAcentral.
GAUGAACGCUGGCGGCGUGCCUAAUACAUGCAAGUCGAGCGAACGGACGAGAAGCUUGCUUCUCUGAUGUUAGCGGCGGACGGGUGAGUAACACGUGGAUAACCUACCUAUAAGACUGGGAUAACUUCGGGAAACCGGAGCUAAUACCGGAUGAUAUUUUGAACCGCAUGGUUCAAAAGUGAAAGACGGUCUUGCUGUCACUUAUAGAUGGAUCCGCGCUGCAUUAGCUAGUUGGUAAGGUAACGGCUUACCAAGGCAACGAUGCAUAGCCGACCUGAGAGGGUGAUCGGCCACACUGGAACUGAGACACGGUCCAGACUCCUACGGGAGGCAGCAGUAGGGAAUCUUGCGCAAAGGGCGAAAGCCUGACGGAGCAACGCCGCGUGAGUGAUGAAGGUCUUCGGAUCGUAAAACUCUGUUAUUAGGGAAGAACAUAUGUGUAAGUAACUGUGCACAUCUUGACGGUACCUAAUCAGAAAGCCACGGCUAACUACGUG